GCAGAAGUACGGCCCACGAGCUGCUGGAAGACGUAUGGGUGAAACGGUAUCCGGGUUUACUGGAUGUAAAGGGCGCGCAGGCGGUACGGCAAGUCUGAUGUGAAAGCCCGGGGCUCAACCCCGGUACUGCAGUGGAAACUGUCGGACUAGAGUGUCGGAGGGGUAAGUGGAAUUCCUAGUGUAGCGGUGAAAUGCGUAGAUAUUAGGAGGAACACCAGUGGCGAAGGCGGCUUACUGGACGAUUACUGACGCUGAGGCUCGAAAGCGUGGGGAGCAAACAGGAUUAGAUACCCCAUAGUC
This 300-nucleotide ribosomal RNA is filed under the name uncultured Lactobacillus sp. RNAcentral's name for it is "bacterial SSU rRNA". It matches the Rfam family "Bacterial small subunit ribosomal RNA", at positions 495 to 795 of the family's 1533-position model. The record is from RNAcentral. Lineage: Bacteria; Bacillati; Bacillota; Bacilli; Lactobacillales; Lactobacillaceae.